GGGGUCGUUACGGAUUCGACAGGCAUUAUGAGGCUCGUUUUGCAACCCAUCGGCAGAUGUAAAAUGCCAGUUAAAUAUAACUGCAAAAAAUACAAAUUCUUACGCAGUAGCUGCCUAAACACCAGCCUGUGUGACUAAUCGCAGAUUGCUUGCGUUUGCGCAUUGGUCUUCAUUUAGCAAGAUACGUUAAAGCCUUGUCAGGGGGCUUUGAAAGAGAUUUUCUGACUCGCUCUUGUUCGGCUUGAGUUAUGUGUCGCUCUAGGGUUAAAAAUAAAACAUAACCUAUGGUUGUAGACGAAUGAGUUAGCAGGUGUUUGGACGUGGGUUCGACUCCCACCGGCUCCAUCU
RNAcentral lists this transfer-messenger RNA (348 nucleotides) under Streptococcaceae. RNAcentral's name for it is "Streptococcus sp001578875 Standard tmRNA". It matches the Rfam family "transfer-messenger RNA". Rfam says of the family: Bacterial tmRNA, also known as 10Sa RNA or SsrA, is named for its dual tRNA and mRNA-like properties. Its role is to liberate the mRNA from a stalled ribosome. To accomplish this part of the tmRNA is used as a reading frame that ends in a translation stop signal. The record is from RNAcentral. RNAcentral also lists the same sequence under 1 other name. Lineage: Bacteria; Bacillati; Bacillota; Bacilli; Lactobacillales.